CGCACAAAAACCAGUGCGUACGAUGAGUCACCACGAACUUGCAGUAACGGCGACAGGCCACGCUUUUCGACCGACGUGUUUCAAACAAGGCGAAAGCUCAGCGACGGAAAUGUUUUAAUUCGCGGAAGAAGCAGAACGAACGGAGGGAGAGAAAGUCGAAUUUCUGCGUACCAUCGUUUGCUCUCGUUCAAUGCAGCUUUGUGAAACGCUUUCGUUACCGUAAACAAGUUACUCUAUGCGUCACUAUGAUGCGGUUGGGUGGAGACAAGUCGUUUUACGUUUGGAAAAAAUUGGAUACAGUUAUUUUCACACAAUACGAGCCAUUGGUGUAUUGUUAUCGUCCUUUGUAUCAAAUGUCGAUAGAAAAGACGGAAAAGGAAUGCGAUGAAUCGAUAGAAAUAAGGAAUCUUCUAAUAAUGGAUAUUGAGAAAUACCCGGAAGCAUCGAAAACAUGUAGCAUGAAGUAAUCUUAGUAGAUUCGGAUAAAACAUUUUAGAUUAGAAACAACUGGUCUUUCUCUAAACGAGACGUUAUAUAGAAGUAGUAUCUGCGAAUCGAAUUGCAUGAAUUUAUUUCCGCCUCGAGAUGGCUAGACUCGAGUUAUC
Molecule: unclassified non-coding RNA, 605 nt
Filed under: Bombus terrestris (buff-tailed bumblebee)
Lineage: Eukaryota; Metazoa; Arthropoda; Insecta; Hymenoptera; Apidae
Description: misc RNA ENSBTSG00005039242.1
Source: RNAcentral